Molecule: long non-coding RNA, 6330 nt
Filed under: Sus scrofa (pig)
Lineage: Eukaryota; Metazoa; Chordata; Mammalia; Artiodactyla; Suidae
Description: lncRNA (ENSSSCG00000061370.1)
Source: RNAcentral
AAAGUGUUUUCAAUUUUAUUUUGUAUCUAAAUUGCUAUGGUGGCAAAUAUUAUACAUAUUUAAAUGUGGGAUAGCAUUUCAUAUUAGCAUCAGUAAAAUCCUUAAAAUCCUAAGACUGUGGGUGUCAGUCUCUCCAGUGAUUUGGAUUGCUGUGCACUGAAGUGUGGAACAUGUGAAGGAUAUCCUUAGAGUUUAACUUAAGCAUCAUAAGUAAAAUUGCCAUAACUAAUUAUCAUACUCUAUAUUUAUCAAUCUGUAAGUAAGCCCUCAUUUUCUAUCUUAGUAAUGCUAUAAUUCAUUUCCAUAAAAAACUAUACAGGUAAAAGAGAAAAAUAUCGCAUCAUAAUUGAGCUGAAUUUAUAUUUUCAAUUCAUCAUAAAAAUAUUUAAUGAUCCACAGAUAAUGUGCCACUUUCUCAUAAAUAUGCCAUAAUAUUAAUUCAAAGUGCCAUAAAUAUUCAUUCAAAUAGAAGUUGUCUCAAAAUAUAACACUAUUACAGUUCAUAUAUAUAUAUAUGUGUGAUAUAUAUAAGUAACUAUAAGAGAACAAUCACCCACACACUUCUUGUUGCUUUAUAGUUUAAUAUAAUAGUUUUUAGUUAUGUUUUAUUUUGCUGGUUCGUAUUUACAUAAAAUACUAUAAGGCUUUUAUGUAGUGCAUGGACUCCCCAAGUCCAUCCAUAGGCCCUCCACCUUCCUAUUACCUUUCUCCUGCUCAGGUCAUGCGUUUUAAUUUUUGUUAGCCAUCUGUAGGCACUGCAGUUUGCUGAUCCCUGAUCUAUAGCACAUUAUAUAUCACUCUCUCCUGUAACUAACUUACUGUGAAUCCGUCUCAUCUGCCGUCCUUCAAGCAUCUUGGGGGUAUGAACUAUGUCUUAUUCAUCCUUAUAUUCUCCAGAGUAUUUUACACAAAGGAGGCAUUCAAUAAAAAUCUAUUGAAAUAGUCAAGAAAGUGGGAAAUAGCUUAAGCAUGUAGCAGGAUGCUCCCUGAACAUUAAAAGAAUUAAAAUUGAAUUUCAUAUUUUAUAAAACUAAUGUUUUUAGGAAUGUAGCAAUCUGUGGUAACAAAAUAGUGUCCCUUAUAAAAUAAGUAUAGCCUUCAACAAAAUAAUAACUAGCAUUCCUUAGUCUUAUUUUUCCUGAGAUCUAGAUUUUUAUUACCACUUUUAUCAUAUUUUUAAGACUGCUAGUUUUCCUUUAAUUUUUAUGCUAUCAAAUUAUCAAAUGUACAUGCUUUAAAAAGUCCAGUAUUUCAUUGGGCCUAUAACAGAAAAUAAUAUCACCUUGAUAUGUCUUUGUGUGUGUGUGUGUGUAUGUGUGUGUGUGUACUUGUACCUUAAAGCAAUGAUAAAAAUUUCAUAAGAAUGUAAGAGGGACUGUAAUUCCUAUUAGGAUAAGAAAAGGAUUUUAAGAGUUGAGUAAAGUACAUUUUAAAUCUCAAAUUCUGUUCUAUUCAUUCACAUUCCAUAAUAAUAAAUCCUUGACCAUUUGAAAAUGUCACUAGUGCGUGUUAGAAUCAUCAUUUGUCUUAGAUUAGUAAGCAAAUAGUGAGUGUUCAUGUGUUAAUCAUGUGAGGUCACUAAUAACCUCUGAAGAAUAGCUUGAGGACCAGAGAAUUAUUUUAGAAUAACAUAGAUCUUUGAAUAAUUUCUUACCCCUAAAUAUUUUUAGAUUACAAGGACAGAACAGCUCAUGGAUAUAAUCUCCAAAAAAACCCUUGAACAAAGAUGUCCAAUUAUCUUAGAACCAAACAUGGAAGAAAACCUUUCUUAACUUAGUGCAACUUAUUUUGUUAUUCUCAGAAAUUUGGCAUAUUGUCUCAUUGGUUUUUACAUCAUUCAAAUGACUUAAAAAAAAGGAUGAUGAUGACACAAUAUAAAUUACUAUAAGGGAAAGAAGUAUAUGUAUAUGUCUUGGUGAUUUAGUUCUUUAGGUACUUUUGAAGAUAUAUGUUACAAAUGUUAUAUUAGCAGUUCUUCAAAAAGAUGUUUCUUAAACCUUGGGACAGAUAAUUGUUAUCCAUGAUUUCAUACUGUAAUGCCAAAAUGUACCUCACACCCAUGAAAGAAUAAUCUGGCAUAUUUAGGGAAUAACAAGGAUAUAGUUUGUACCCAUGAUACCAGUAUAGCCAGAUAAAAUGUGGAAAAAAAUCCAUUAAAUACUUUGUCACACUUUAUAAAAAGAAAUUUCUGUAACUCAAAUGGAAACAUCUUAGUUACUUUAUAAUUAAUAUGGUUGAGUUAUAAAAUUAGAAAAAUUCAAAUUAUAUAAGGAAAAUUAAAACCCUGUUCUACUACUAUUGUGUCAGCUGAUAGUUCAGAACAUGGUAACACAUUAUGGUUUCAUACUGUCCUUUUUUGUCUAGAAAUUUUUUAUUGUAUUUUGGCAUAAUUUUAGUUAUCUCAUAUCUGAGUGAGAUCUUAAGGAAAAAAAAGAUCUUAUAAAGAAAUGUGAGAAAAAAAGUUGAUCAUAGAAAUAGCAAAUAAAGGAUUUUUAAAGUCACAUUAGUAUUACAUUUGAUUAUAAUAAAGGUGAUGAAAUCUCCAUGGAAAGGCUUACAGUAGCCACAUAAAUAUGCUGAUUUCUUUUCUUUAUUAUCCUUAAUUGGACAUGAAUUCUUAAUGAGAGAACACGUCUAAUGAUUUUGAUUUGCAAGGCUUUGUAAUUUAUUAACUUCAAAUUGAAAAUCUCCAAGGUGAAAAAAAUAUUUCAUCUUUAUGUAUAUUCUGUCAACUCAGACUACUUUUACAAAGUCCAUCCACCAGGAAAAUUCAGCCAACCUGCAGAUGAAAUUUUUGAUAUGUAGAGGUGACUAAAGUUGAAUUUUAUUUUUAGUUAGAGACAGAAGUUAAAUUCAGUGAUGGCUUCUUAGGUAACUACCUUGUAAAGCCUAAAUUCAAGGCCAGCUUCCAUUCCAUUUUGCAUAGCCUUUUGGAUUCCCCCCCAUAGAGAAGGUUGUGCUGUGGCCCUGGAAGAGUUUGCCUGCAUUUAAAUUUUGGCUUCACUUCCUGAUACAGCUGUGAUCUCUCCAUGCCUCAGUCUGAUUUUCACUAAAAGUAGAAUAAAAUGUGUUAUGCUGCAUGAUAUUGUUUUGAGAAUUAACUCCAAUAAUCCACAUAAACUGCAUGGUUUAAAGUGCUGCUCAAAAAGGUUAGUUCUAGCCUGAAUAAUGACCUUGAGGCAAUUUUUGAACUCUGUAUAACUUGUGUAUUUUGAUGAUUUUCCCCUGGUUAUUCUCCAUAAAGUAGAGAAAAGUAAAGGAUGUUGGUGGAAUAUAUAUUAUUGGUUGUAUUCUUUAGGGCAAGUUUUGACAAACUUUGUCUAUAAUGAAGCAUAAAACAAAAACAGGCUGUAGUCUGGAUUUGGCCUGCUGGUUGUCAUUUUCCAAGCCCUACCUUAAAAUAAAGAAAUGCCAUUUUUAGUGAAUGAUAGAUUCAUCUCUCAAUAGCUUCUAUUUUUUUCUAAUUGGAAUUUAAUCCAUUCUCACUGUUAAAUAAAAUAAUUUGAAAAAUAUAGAAAUGUUUAAAUAAAUACAUAACUUAUAAUCAUAUAAUUCAUGAAUAACUAAUUUCAACAGUUAAUUUUAUUUAUAGAAUUUCUAUUUUUCUAAACAAAUUAGAAAUAUGCCGUGGACAUAUUUUUAAUUCCUGUUCUUUCUACUUACCAUUAUAAAAUGAAUGCUUUCCCCCCAAAAAUCUCAUAAUAUCAUUUACAUGGCUUUAUUUAAAUGGUAAUAAUUAUACUUCAUAAAUUAAUAUCCAUUAAUAAUCUUUCCCUGCCACUAGAUUGUGUUCACUUUGAGACUAGAGACUGUCUUACUCAUCUUUGUAAGUCUCAUCUUUAGUAUCAUGAUUGGUACAUGGUAAGUGCUCAUGACUGAAUCAGUUUUAAAAUUUAAGAACACAAUUAUUCUUUACUCAAUGUUAUAUCUUAGAGUCCUGGUCCUAGUUCCAAGAUGGCAUGCUCAAAUUCAUUACCUGCUAGCCAGUUAUGCAGAAAGCAAGAGUAGCAUGAUUUUUUAUUACCAGUUCACUUUAGAGAGCUCAUCAUUUGAAAAAAUAAUCUAUUUAAGUGCCAAAAUUGUUCCAUUUUUCUUUCAUUCCCUGAAAAAUUUUCAUUUAAAAUAGUCUCCCCAAAAUUGUUCCAAGCCAGAUACUUCUGAAUGACAUUUCAAUUUGUACCUGAAAUUCAUUAUUCAUACUAAGGGGGAUGGUAUAUCAGUUAUAAAAGAAAAAGAAAGGGAGGAAGGAAGGAAAGAAAGAAAGAGAGGAGGGAGAGAGGGAAGGAAGGAAACAUACAUUUGAAGACACUUUUUCAGAAUACAAUGAACCAUUUUUCUGAGAGAAGCUGUUUUCACAUGCAUCGUAUUCCACAGAGCAAACACAAAGAGCUAAGUAACUUCUUCAGUGAAAAAAAGGUGAGCUUUUGUUGUAUUUAGGAAUACAAACUGGUUUACAUAUUUUUACUGAUUAGUUUAAAAAUAGUUAAAAGAGUACUUUAUCACCUUAGUUAAAAAUGUUUGAUUCACUGAUAGUUUUUGGAUUAAUCUCAAUAUGUUUUUUCAAAAUAAAACUCUAUCUGGGAAAUCUGGGAAAAUAUCAUCCUGACUGAGCACAGGCAUCAAACUCUGUUUUUCUCCGCUCCCUAUUAAGGUGGUCAAACAUAAGUAAUAGAGGCAGGCAGAACUAGCUUCAUCCCUCGUAACUUAAAAAGUUGACAUCUGUGCAAGGUAACUAAUAACUUGCUUUCAUAUCCAUCUACCCUCACAUACGCACACUCUAACAUAGGGAGCUACAUUUCUCAUGUUCCCCUGCACAUUGACCUCUCUGUUGGGUACAAGAAAUAUCAGAGGUUAGAAGAUGAACAGGUACAAGGGCAGCACUCCUCAGUAUGGUAUCUUUAUAGUUUCUGAGGAUCAUCCAUGACUCCUGCUCCUGAUCAGGCACCCCUUCCCCACUUCUUAUUUCCCAUAUCUCAACAGAUGAUCCUCACUGUGAUUCUAGCUCCCCUGGGACAUGGUGUGGUUCUAGGCUAUGGUUACACUACCAUGUCCUCUCUUCCUGUUCUCUUGUGCUCUUUUUUGUAUGUUCUAAUUUUUUGUCUCUUUGUAUUCUUGGUGUGAAUAUUUAUUUCCUUAUAAUCACUAAUCCAGUAAUUAAGUUGAUAAUCUUAAAUCAAUAGGGUAUUGCCCUAAUUCAGACACAUAUUUCAAUAUUUGUGAAGGGCAUUUUAUUUCUGAUUCUUCCUUAUUCCCUCCAAGAUGUAAAUCUUCAGUGGUCCAAGUAGAAUCCUGGGCUAUUAACCAAUGUCCUACCUCCUUGUGAUUUUUUUUUUCUUUUUGGGGAUGCACCCUCAGCAUAUAGAGGUUCUCAGUCUAGGAGUCGAAUUGGAGCUGUAGCCAAGGCCUACACCACAGCUCACUGCAACACCGGAUCCUUAACCCAGUAAGCAAGGCCAGGGAUGGAACCUGCCUCCUCAUGGAUGCUAGUCAGAUUCAUUUCUGCUGAGCCACAAUGGGAACUCCCUCCUUGUGAUUUUUAAUCUCUAAUUUUUGUUCUUCCAGGCUCUUAAGACUUCUGAAAGUUCUGUUCAGCUUUUCAGCCUUCUAGCUGCUAUUUUAUGCUCAGCUUCUCAGUCCCUCAGCUGUGUUUUAUAGAUUGGAAAAUGCCUUAAGAAGAAGAAUGUUAGAUUCAGUUAUCUUCAUGUUCGUCCUCUGUAGAACAUUGACUUCUCUGUCCUCAGUGAUUUCUUAAUUUAACUAAUGCCUUCAAAAAGAUUUUAGAAAGAUGUUUUAUACAGAUUUAGCAGUCAUUCUUGGUGGAAGGGUUGGCUUAAUAUAAUCUAGUCCACGAAAAUGACCAAAACCCAAAAGGAAAAAAAUUGAAUAACAAAUAAAUAGCAAAAGUGGGGAAAAGGGAAUUAUAUUUUACAAAAUCUACAAGUAAAUUUGAAUAACAAAUAGCAAAAAGUAGGGGGAAAUGAAUUACAUUGUUUAAAAUCUAGAAGUAAAUCACAAAGUUAGAAAUGGAAAAAAAGUCAUUUUAAAAAUAAAAUUUGUGAAAAUAUAAAAAUAAAAAUCCAGCAGAUUUCUUGAAGUUCCUAAAAAGCCAAGAGAGGAGUUCCCAUCAUGGCACAGUGGAAACAAAUCUGACUAGGAACCACGAGGCUGCUGGUUUGAUCCCUGGCCUCGCUCAGUUGGUUAAGGAUCCAGUGUUGUGGUGAACUGUGGUAUAGGUCACAGACACAGCUCAGAUCCUGCAUUGCUGUGGCUGUGGCCAUAAUCUGUAGCUCUGAUUUGACCCCUAGCCUGGGAACUUCCAUAUGCCAUGGG